RNAcentral lists this transfer RNA (84 nucleotides) under Fibrobacteria bacterium R8-3-H12. RNAcentral describes it as "tRNA-Leu". It matches the Rfam family "tRNA". From Rfam's summary of the family: Transfer RNA (tRNA) molecules are approximately 80 nucleotides in length. Their secondary structure includes four short double-helical elements and three loops (D, anti-codon, and T loops). Further hydrogen bonds mediate the characteristic L-shaped molecular structure. tRNAs have two regions of fundamental functional importance: the anti-codon, which is responsible for specific mRNA codon recognition, and the 3' end, to which the tRNAs corresponding amino acid is attached (by aminoacyl-tRNA synthetases). tRNAs cope with the degeneracy of the genetic code in two manners: having more than one tRNA (with a specific anti-codon) for a particular amino acid; and 'wobble' base-pairing, i.e. permitting non-standard base-pairing at the 3rd anti-codon position. Lineage: Bacteria; Pseudomonadati; Fibrobacterota; Fibrobacteria. RNAcentral also lists the same sequence under 1 other name. The record is from RNAcentral.
GCUCGGAUGGUGGAAUCGGUAGACACUGGGGACUUAAAAUCCCCUGGCCGCAAGGUCGUGCGAGUUCAAGUCUCGCUCUGAGCA